GACGAACGCUGGCGGCGUGCCUAAUACAUGCAAGUAGAACGCUGAAGAGAGGAGCUUGCUCUUCUUGGAUGAGUUGCGAACGGGUGAGUAACGCGUAGGUAACCUGCCUUGUAGCGGGGGAUAACUAUUGGAAACGAUAGCUAAUACCGCAUAACAAUGGAUGACACAUGUCAUUUAUUUGAAAGGGGCAAUUGCUCCACUACAAGAUGGACCUGCGUUGUAUUAGCUAGUAGGUGAGGUAAUGGCUCACCUAGGCGACGAUACAUAGCCGACCUGAGAGGGUGGUCGGCCACACUGGGACUGAGACACGGCCCAGACUCCUACGGGGGGAAGCAGUAGGGAAUCUUCGGCAAUGGGGGCAACCCUGACCGAGCAACGCCGCGUGAGUGAAGAAGGUUUUCGGAUCGUAAAGCUCUGUUGUAAGUCAAGAACGGGUGUGAGAGUGGAAAGUUCACAAUGUGACGGUAGCUUACCAGAAAGGGACGGCUAACUACGUG
This 497-nucleotide ribosomal RNA is filed under the name uncultured bacterium. RNAcentral describes it as "partial 16S ribosomal RNA". It matches the Rfam family "Bacterial small subunit ribosomal RNA", at positions 28 to 507 of the family's 1533-position model. The record is from RNAcentral.